UUGGAGGGCAAGUCUGGUGCCAGCAGCCGCGGUAAUUCCAGCUCCAAUAGCGUAUAUUAAGUUGUUGCAGUUAAAAAGCUCGUAGUUGAAUUUCGGGAUUAGUACGCUGGUCGUGCCUUCGGUACGUACUGGUGUUACUGAUUCCUACCUUCUGACGAACCAUCAUGUCAUUUAUUUGGUGUGGUGGGGAAUCAGGACUGUUACUUUGAAAAAAUUAGAGUGUUUAAAGCAGGCUCGCGCUUGAAUACAUUAGCAUGGAAUAAUGAAAUAGGACGUUGAUCCUAUUUUGUUGGUUUCUAGGAUUGACGUAAUGAUUAAUAGGGAUAGUUGGGGGCAUUAGUAUUCAAUUGUCAGAGGUGAAAUUCUUGGAUUUAUUGAAGACUAACUACUGCGAAAGCAUUUGCCAAGGAUGUUUUCAUUAAUCAAGAACGAAAGUUAGGGGAUCGAAGACGAUCAGAUACCGUCGUAGUCUUAACCAUAAACUAUGCCGACUAGGGAUCGGAUGAUGUUAUUUUUAAUGACUCAUUCGGCGCCUUACGGGAAAC
RNAcentral lists this ribosomal RNA (545 nucleotides) under uncultured Glomeromycotina. RNAcentral describes it as "SSU rRNA". It matches the Rfam family "Eukaryotic small subunit ribosomal RNA", at positions 548 to 1098 of the family's 1831-position model. Lineage: Eukaryota; Fungi; Glomeromycota. The record is from RNAcentral.